RNAcentral lists this long non-coding RNA (3036 nucleotides) under Androctonus crassicauda. The record is from RNAcentral. Lineage: Eukaryota; Metazoa; Arthropoda; Arachnida; Scorpiones; Buthidae.
CGUCAAUCAGUCGAUCGACUCUCCGGAAAAUCGGAAUUAUACGGAGCCGUCCAACAGGUGAGUGAGUUUUUUUCUUCUUUUCGUCGGCCGGUCUGGAUGGCGCUAACCCCAUUUUGCCUAUUGAAUUACAUCUGAUAUUAAGUAACCUCCCUAUCCGGAUGGGACUUGGGUUUCCAUUCCACGCGUUUUUAAUCCUUUCGUUGGUUGGUUGUGUUUCUUUGACCGGAUUGGUACUCACUCAUCCACUUGAUGCAUCCGCUUCUGAUCAGCCUAUCUUUGCUAAUUCCUAUCGAUCUAAAGUUCAUGAUCUCAACUUUUCCACCUAGGAAUGAAAAUAAGUCCUUAAAACAACAAAAAGCGUUUCCACGGGAUUUGGAUAUACUUACGGUUCUGUUUCGGAAUAUUAAAAGUGUUCAAAUUCCGAUAGUAGUUUCGAUCACUUCCCUAAUAAGUGAAAAAGACAUGCCAUUGAUGAUAGACUGGAUAACUUUCAGCUAACAAAUUUAACUGCGAGAAUCUUUCGAUUAACGAACUGUUUCAGCAGAAGACGAAUAGUACACACAGUCGAAUAUUUAUUUAUUUCAGUCUUCUAGCAUAAAAAUAAAGGUACUAAAAUGGAAAGUAUGACAUUGGUCAGUCAUAAAUGGCUGGAAAGGCAGGCUUUCCCACAUCCAAAACCCAUCAUCAAGCGUCCAAUCUACGUAUGCAAUUGCAUGUUUUAAUUCUUGCCCGUAUACUUAUAUUUGACAACAGUGGAAACGAAUAAUAAAUUCGAAGUUUGUUGACAGUGUAGAGAAAUAGGCGGACAGUUAUUCAUUAGGAGUAAAAUCUUAAAUCUUGUUGUAGCAGAAUUCCAGUUGAUCAUCUCAACUAUUCGACUAUAUUUAUAUCGGUUUCCUGUUCUACGCGAUUUUCUUUAUUAUACCACAUAUGAUUUAUAAUUAAUUAUUCAGAUCAUCGAGUAAAUGGGUUUAAGGCAUUGAUCAUCAGGAGUAAGCGUAUUAUAUCCAUCUCCAAUAUCUGCUUUCAAACGUCUGUUUCAAAGAACCUAUCGUCUGUUUAUCGUCAACUAUAUACCUCAAGAUCAGUUUGCCUGGAUGGAACUGUACUUCUAGAUCAGUUUGCCUGGAGGGAUCUCCAUCUAAUUAUAUGGGCGAUGGAGAUUAAGACCGAAACUGGCAUAAAUCCUAUUGAAGCAGGAUAUUGUAUAAUAAAAUUAAGAGAGAGAGAAAAUGAUGGGAUGUCGGAUAAACUAGUCAUUAGUAGUUUGGAUAUUAAUUCAGAAUUCCCACAUAUAGAUAGACAGACAGAAACGUGCCCCGCUCCCUAGAGCGCUCUUUUAUCUAUCUUGAUAAAGACGAAUCCAAUCGAUGGAUAUAUACAUGGACAUCGAUUCCAAAUGCGAUUUUUAAGUGUUGGCUAAGCAGUUUAUUAAAAAUUCGAAGGAGACGGUAAUCGUUGUACAUUUGUAACUUUUAGAAGAGACAGUGGAAGGAAAGGUGGACACACCCAUCUCUGAUCGACAUGUGCGGAAAUAGGAAGCGCCGAUUAAAAGCCCAGUAGUUACUGGAGGAGAAAACCGUGAAAGAAACCAGGCCAGACUUCUCGCUUCUCCCCAACCGCCAUAUACGGUACAGCCUUUUUUUACACUAUUUAUUUAUUCAAAUAAUUCUCCAGUUAAGUCAUAAACUCGGUGGCACCAAAGUCAGCCGUGAAAAAAAAAUAAUAAUAAAUAAAUAAAUUCCAACCAACAAAGUGGAGGACUUUCUUCCUCCUUACAGGUUAGAUUUUGGCCAGCUUAACCACCUCUUAUCAAACUGUAAUAUUCUCGCGGAUAAGGAGGAAUAGUAGUUGUAGUAUUAUAGAGUAUAUCGAAUGGUCUAGGUGUAUUUGGCGGGAAAAGCGAAAAUAAAUUUCUGUCGCUUCUGACGGUAGUGCUCAACACGGUCACCACGUUCCAUUAUGGUCUCAUCAAUACCACAUUAUCAUUUUCAAAAAUCAAAAUAAAAUAAAUUAUGUGUAUCUGGUGACAAAACAAUAACAUAGAUUACUCAAUCCCCUGUAAUAAAGUUGUUAGAAAUUGCACCAACGUUAUCUAAUGAUGCAUCGUACUUUGUUCUGAAGAAAGUGCCAUAUAUUAAGAUUUAGUAACGAAUUAUUAUUAUUAACCUCGUUUGGAUUUGUCAAGGAAGCGAUGUUAGACACGGUGACACUAAAUGGGUGUUCAUUUUUAAACGAAAUCGUGGAUUAUAUGUUAAAAAAUUUCUGGCGGUUGGCCUUUUGUUGCUCGGUGUUCCCAAAACGUUAAAAAUUUAGUUUUAAUUACCGAAAUUAUGCGAUACGCAACUACUGGAUCAGACAGUAGAACGAGUCAUAUCCAUUCUACUGUCCGAAAUCCCAAAUUAAUUAUUAAUUAAUCAUCUGAGGAAUGACGAGGCGAUGACAUUUCUGGUUAAAUAUCGAAUUUUUCCGUCUUAUUAAUCCAAACAGCCUUAACUUUAUUCAUUAAUAACGGAAUUCCUCUCCAGUUUGAUGACAUUUCUGAAUUUUUUCCCACUGGGAACACGACGGACAAGAUCAGUCUUAUGCUCAAAAUUUAAAUGAUUUGGUCUUAAUGAUUUCAGAAAGGAAGUAGAAUGCGUGCGAGUGGACCGAAAAAUAUCAUUUUUAAGCAUAUUCGAGACUAAAUUUGAUGUAGAAUAAUAUGAUAAAAACCGAUGUAAGAGCACUGAUGUUACGAAUAUAUCUGCCAUUGGCAGGAUCUAAUUAAUUUGUGCUUGCAAUGCCAUCGUAACCACAGAGAUGGUAUUCGAGGCGAAAAAAUAUGCUUGCCAAUCUACAUAUAACAGAUCAUUUUAUAUUUACUGUAGUAAAGGCACCGGCUAACAGGACUUCUUUGCUGUUUUUGAAUUGUUUAAAUAAGACAAUGCACACAUUAUACACCUACACAUUUUUAUUUAAGUAUGUAAUACGUACAAAUUGGAUAUUAGCCGAUGGCAUUGGUUUCUAAAAUUAUCAUUCCGUGUAUAAACCGCC